AACCGAUCAGCCCAUCGCUGAACACGAAACAAGGGAAGGAGGCUCGUAAAACCCACACCAAGGAGGAGGCUGACGUGUGCCGCGAGGAUGGGCUGGCGGUCGUACAAGCCCGAGCGCUGCCGCUCGCUUCUUGGUCUGCUCAUCUGCCACCCAACUGGAGUUUAUUUGUUAACACUUCUUCCCAAAGCUGGCUCCCAGCAGAGCUGCUGCUGAGCUGGCUUUUCAUCUCUGCGCCGCACUGGAGAGCAGGACCAGGCUGGAGCACGAACAAGCGGAGAGCCCACAGCUCCGGGAUCCGGCCCCUCAUACUUCUGAGACGAUGCUAGGAAAACAAGGAGCGAACAAUGCUGGGGUAUGGCACCGCAGGGGAAGCGCCUCCUAUCCAAGAUGCUGCUUUUGUUGGACCAAGCCCGUACGUUCAGUAGAUGCUGCUUCAGCGUAAAGAUGCUCUUGUGGGACCAGCAAGCAGUAAGCUGAUCAGGGACAUCUCUGUGAAGAUAUAGCAUCAGACACCGCCAUGAAUUCUUCUGCUUCAGUGCUUCAAAAAGCAAGACAGGGAGUACGUGGUUUUCCUACUGACAGAUACUGGUGGGAUGAGUGUACCAACAGGAAACCUCAACAUCUGAAAGGCUGGACCUUGUUUAAAGUCUCUUUUUCUCCCAAGAUCCACAUACUCAGUCUUUCAAAGCCUUGAGGCCUGUGCUAUCAGCGUAUUGAGGGUUUACUUGUAGCUGGAAGUUAAGAAUAACUUCUCCUGUAUUAAAUAAUCUGUACUUCUGUUUAUAGCCUUAAUCAUUGUCAUCUUUUUUUUAUGCUCUCUGGUGGGAGCACAUGGCUCUGUGCUGCCAUAAACCCACAACAUUCUCAGACACUAGACAUGUUUUUUUAUC
Molecule: long non-coding RNA, 890 nt
Filed under: Calidris pugnax (ruff)
Lineage: Eukaryota; Metazoa; Chordata; Aves; Charadriiformes; Scolopacidae
Description: lncRNA (ENSCPUG00000019595.1)
Source: RNAcentral